This 492-nucleotide ribosomal RNA is filed under the name uncultured bacterium. Its description in RNAcentral is "partial 16S ribosomal RNA". It matches the Rfam family "Bacterial small subunit ribosomal RNA", at positions 29 to 507 of the family's 1533-position model. The record is from RNAcentral.
AGUGAACGCUGGCGGUAGGCCUAACACAUGCCAGUCGAACGGCAGCACAGUAAGAGCUUGCUCUUACGGGUGGCGAGUGGCGGACGGGUGAGGAAUACAUCGGAAUCUACUUUUUCGUGGGGGAUAACGUAGGGAAACUUACGCUAAUACCGCAUACGACCUACGGGUGAAAGCAGUGGAUCUUCGGACCUUGCGCGAUUGAAUGAGCCGAUGUCGGAUUAGCUAGUUGGCGGGGUAAAGGCCCACCAAGGCGACGAUCCGUAGCUGGUCUGAGAGGAUGAUCAGCCACACUGGAACUGAGACACGGUCCAGACUCCUACGGGAGGCAGCAGUGGGGAAUAUUGGACAAUGGGCGCAAGCCUGAUCCAGCCAUACCGCGUGAGUGAAGAAGGCCUUCGGGUUGUAAAGCCCUUUUGUUGGGAAAGAAAAGCAGCAGGUUAAUACCCCGCUGUUCUGACGGUACCCAAAGAAUAAGCACCGGCUAACUUCGUG